Molecule: long non-coding RNA, 706 nt
Organism: Orcinus orca (killer whale)
Lineage: Eukaryota; Metazoa; Chordata; Mammalia; Artiodactyla; Delphinidae
Exons: 3
Source: RefSeq, a predicted model, not a curated record
UCAUUUAAACAUAAUUAUUAUUAGUUGUAUAUAUAAUUUAAAUUUUUUGCCAUUUAAUAAACCCUGCUGUUUAAUUUACCUUAAAAAGAUAUUAUAAAAUAAAGUAUGUUUUUUUCUCCCCACAAAUUACUUCAUGUUUGGUUUGGGGAUCGAAUAAGUAAUAACAUGUGAAUACAUUUAAAGAUGUCUGUGUCAAAAGUAGACAUAAUUGCUGAGUUUUAUAGCAAUGGUUCAAAGAUGGGGUUGCUGAUAAGAUUAGGGUGUGUGCAGGAACUGCACUCCUUUCAUCUGGUCUCAGGUAAUCUCUUGAUGAGCUUUUCUGGUUCCUUUAAUCUGGCCUCAGGUGGUCUUCCGUGGAAUGAAGAAUCCUGACAUCUUCCAUUUGUUAGGGGUUUUAGAUCUAUAAAGAGCUUAAAGAUAUUGUUAUGUGCAUCCCUUGAAGAACCAGGAUCCUGCCCCAAGGCUGCACUAUUCUUUCUCGGCUGUUCUUCCCUUGUCUCUGCAUCCCCUCCCUUCCCUGAUUAGCAACUAUCAUAGAACCUGGGGUCUGUUCCUUACAAACAAGGAACGGGGGACACAGAAAGGCUUCUGUGGCCAGGAGCCCCAUAGGGUCCUGCUCGGUUUCAGUACUAAGGCCUGGAAAUGUGGCUAGUGGGACUGAGGAACUGAAUUUUAAACCUUACUUAAUUUUAAUUAAAGUUUAAUU